GCUCCCUGGUGGCGAGCGGCGGACGGGUGAGUAAUGCAUAGGAAUCUGCCCGGUAGUGGGGGAUAACGUGGGGAAACCCACGCUAAUACCGCAUACGUCCUACGGGAGAAAGCGGAGGAUCUUCGGACUUCGCGCUAUCGGAUGAGCCUAUGUCGGAUUAGCUAGUUGGUAAGGUAACGGCUUACCAAGGCGACGAUCCGUAGCUGGUCUGAGAGGAUGAUCAGCCACACUGGGACUGAGACACGGCCCAGACUCCUACGGGAGGCAGCAGUGGGGAAUAUUGGACAAUGGGCGAAAGCCUGAUCCAGCCAUGCCGCGUGUGUGAAGAAGGCUUUCGGGUUGUAAAGCACUUUCAGCGAGGAAGAAAGCCUUUGGGUUAAUACCCCAGAGGAAGGACAUCACUCGCAGAAGAAGCACCGGCUAACUCCGUGCCAGCAGCCGCGGUAAUACGGAGGGUGCGAGCGUUAAUCGGAAUUACUGGGCGUAAAGCGCGCGUAGGUGGCUUGGCACGCCGGUUGUGAAAGCCCCGGGCUCAACCUGGGAACGGCAUCCGGAACGGCCAGGCUAGAGUGCAGGAGAGGAAGGUAGAAUUCCCGGUGUAGCGGUGAAAUGCGUAGAGAUCGGGAGGAAUACCAGUGGCGAAGGCGGCC
Molecule: ribosomal RNA, 650 nt
Filed under: uncultured marine bacterium
Lineage: Bacteria
Description: bacterial SSU rRNA
Rfam family: Bacterial small subunit ribosomal RNA
Source: RNAcentral